AACGCGAAGAACCUUACCAGCCCUUGACAUGGGACGUUUGACCAGGAGAGAUCCUGGUCUUCAGUUCGGCUGGCGUCCACACAGGUGCUGCAUGGCUGUCGUCAGCUCGUGUCGUGAGAUGUUGGGUUAAGUCCCGCAACGAGCGCAACCCUCAUCUUCAGUUGCCAUCAGGUUAAGCUGGGCACUCUGAAGGAACUGCCGGUGACAAGCCGGAGGAAGGCGGGGAUGACGUCAAGUCCUCAUGGCCCUUAUGGGCUGGGCUACACACGUGCUACAAUGGCGGUGACAGAGGGAUGCGAAGGGGCGACCCUUGGCGAAUCUCAAAAAGCCGUCUCAGUUCGGAUUGUUCUCUGCAACUCGAGAGCAUGAAGCUGGAAUCGCUAGUAAUCGCGGAUCAGCACGCCGCGGUGAAUACGUUCCCGGGCCUUGUACACACCGCGUGUCU
This 445-nucleotide ribosomal RNA is filed under the name uncultured bacterium. Its description in RNAcentral is "bacterial SSU rRNA". It matches the Rfam family "Bacterial small subunit ribosomal RNA", at positions 958 to 1399 of the family's 1533-position model. The record is from RNAcentral.